RNAcentral lists this transfer RNA (67 nucleotides) under Hypsicera sp. ZJUH_2016019. Its description in RNAcentral is "tRNA-His". Lineage: Eukaryota; Metazoa; Arthropoda; Insecta; Hymenoptera; Ichneumonidae. The record is from RNAcentral.
AUUUUAAUAAUUUAAGUUAAAAAUAUUGAUUUGUGGAAUCAAAAAUAUAAAAUUUUUAUUUAAAAUA